CCAGGAGGGGACGCUGGCCCGGCGCUGCUUGCGGCUGCUGGCCGCAGGCCGGCGCCCGGCCGGGACCGGGGUCGGCUCGGGCUCGGCCUUCUCGAC
This 96-nucleotide transfer RNA is filed under the name Kineosporia sp. NBRC 101677. Its description in RNAcentral is "tRNA-Ser". The record is from RNAcentral. Lineage: Bacteria; Bacillati; Actinomycetota; Actinomycetes; Kineosporiales; Kineosporiaceae.